Molecule: long non-coding RNA, 717 nt
Organism: Amphiprion ocellaris (clown anemonefish)
Lineage: Eukaryota; Metazoa; Chordata; Actinopteri; Pomacentridae
Exons: 3
Source: RefSeq, a predicted model, not a curated record
UGAUGUAGACGGCGUGAAAACGGAAACAACAUGUAUGCCGGCUCACUGUGCUGCAUACAAUUACACACUACGUCGUACGAUUGAGACAAGGAAACUUGGAAUGACUUUUCAUAGGUUUCCCAGAGACUAUGGGUUGAGGAGGAAUUGGAAGUUUGUCGGCUUAGACCUGGUGUCAUUCCAUCAGUGUUAAACUUCCCGGCUCAUCUUGGAAGAGUAUGUGCCAGAAAGACCACAACCAAGCAGCCUUGAGAUCUUAGACAGCAUCUCCCUCAGGUCCCUCUCUAUCUCCCUACACAUCCACCAACCACUGGAACACAUCUCCAAAGUUCUGCUGGGCCAGCUCAGCUUCCCCUCAGAAGAAGUGCUGCCACCUGCCAGAUGAAGGAGCCUUUUGAGAGGCAGCUGGCAUCGUGAUUGGACUGUACUUUGGUCUGUUCCAAUCCAGCUUCAGCUCCAGAGACGGCAGGCGGGACGAGUCAACGGAGGCCGGGUGGACGAAGGCAUGCAGCUGAGUACAAUCCAGAAAACAACAGAGGAGGAGUGCAGUGGUCCAGGGCCAGAACAGGGUAGCAUCGUAUGUCUCUUAGAAAACAUCAUAGUAUAGCCUUUGGUAUGAAAAAAUGCCAUCAUAUACAUCAUAUAUUGUACAAAUAACAAGUCAAUGGAAAGAGACAUACAUUGUAGAAUUGUAGUAAUUGUGGGCUGACUGAUUUACUG